RNAcentral lists this ribosomal RNA (253 nucleotides) under uncultured bacterium. RNAcentral's name for it is "partial 16S ribosomal RNA". It matches the Rfam family "Bacterial small subunit ribosomal RNA", at positions 524 to 776 of the family's 1533-position model. The record is from RNAcentral.
UACAGAGGGGGCAAGCGUUGUUCGGAAUUACUGGGCGUAAAGGGCGCGUAGGUGGCCCGCUAAGUCGAACGUGAAAUCCCCGAGCUCAACUCGGGAACUGCGUCCGAUACUGGUGGGCUUGAAUCCGGGAGAGGGAUGCGGAAUUCCAGGUGUAGCGGUGAAAUGCGUAGAUAUCUGGAGGAACACCGGUGGCGAAGGCGGCAUCCUGGACCGGCAUUGACGCUGAGGCGCGAAAGCUAGGGGAGCAAACGGG